Molecule: ribosomal RNA, 208 nt
Filed under: uncultured Thermovirga sp.
Lineage: Bacteria; Thermotogati; Synergistota; Synergistia; Synergistales; Thermovirgaceae
Description: partial 16S ribosomal RNA
Rfam family: Bacterial small subunit ribosomal RNA
Source: RNAcentral
UGGGAUGACGUCAAGUCAUCAUGGCCUUAUGUCCAGGGCGACACACGUGCUACAAUGGCCGGCACAGCGGGAAGCGAGGGGGCGACCUUGAGCGGAUCCCUCAAAGCCGGUCUCAGUUCGGAUUGCAGUCUGCAACUCGACUGCAUGAAGUUGGAAUCGCUAGUAAUCGUGGAUCAGCCAAGCCGCGGUGAAUACGUUCCCGGGCCUU